RNAcentral lists this ribosomal RNA (439 nucleotides) under uncultured Verrucomicrobiota bacterium. Its description in RNAcentral is "bacterial SSU rRNA". It matches the Rfam family "Bacterial small subunit ribosomal RNA", at positions 136 to 561 of the family's 1533-position model. Lineage: Bacteria; Pseudomonadati; Verrucomicrobiota. The record is from RNAcentral.
GUGGGGGAUAGCUCGCCGAAAGGCGAAUUAAUACCGCAUGUGAUCAGGAAGGACAUCUUUCCGACAUUAAAGGUGGCGCAAGCUACCGCUUUUUGAGGAGCCCGCGGCCUAUCAGCUUGUUGGUGAGGUAACGGCUCACCAAGGCUAUGACGGGUAGCUGGUCUGAGAGGACGACCAGUCACACUGGAACUGAGACACGGUCCAGACACCUACGGGUGGCAGCAGUCGAGAAUUUUUCUCAAUGGGGGAAACCCUGAAGGAGCGACGCCGCGUGGAGGAUGAAGGCUUGUCGGGUUGUAAACUCCUGUCAUUUGAGAACAAUGGCUACGCGUUAACUGCGCGGAGCUUGAUAGUAUCAGAAGAGGAAGAGACGGCUAACUCUGUGCCAGCAGCCGCGGUAAUACAGAGGUCUCAAGCGUUGUUCGGAUUCAUUGGGGCG